UGCUGCCAUGCUGGCUGGCUAGGUUGCUCUGUGUUCCUGGCUCCCAGCCAACCCGCUGCAGCUGAGCUGCUCCCAGCUUGGAGACUCACACAGACCUCCUAAGGUUUUACCACCGUGUGCUUGGGAUCAGCUUGGACUGCGGCCUACCCGCACCCGGAGGCCUCCAGCCCUUGAACUGAGUUGGAGUAGAUCUCGGCUUUCAGCAGGGUCCGUGCAGUGGCCUUAAAGCCGCACCUCAUUCAGUGGUUGCUGCUGCAAGGCCGUAUACUCUCUCAGAUAAGCGGAGCCACUUUUGUGACCUCUCUCCACAGCUGCCACCCACCAUUGCCAAAUGCCGAGGACUAACUGAACACCCGUGCCACCCACUGGUCAAAGAUAGUUACUGCAUCUGGAGUAGAAAUCAGGUAAAAUUAUGGCGGAAUAUUUAUCAUUUGCUAAAAUUGGUAAUAUUUUUGCUUAUUACGUGAAUUCACUGUUUGAGGAGGAUGCUAAUUUGCCAAUUACUGGCCUAUAUGCCGUAAUGGCAGUUAGCUUGCUGGUACAAAUAGUAUUACUAGCCAGAGGAUUCAGGAAUAGGGAUAAGGAUAACCUUACCACCUACUUACAGGAAAUAACAGUUUUACGCAAUGAGGUUUUGGAGAAAAGAUUAGGUCAGACCACAAUUAUGCAGCAAGUAGAACAGAAAUUGGAUGAUAAGCUUGGCUCUGUGUCCAAUAUGCUAAAGACAGAGCUGUCUGUUACCCAAGAUGAGAUGCAGCAUAUUUAUACCAUGUCUGAGGCCUUAGAGGCUAGGCUGUCAGAAGACCAUGAUGAGCUAAAAAAUAUCUGUAGCCAGCUAGAAACUCAGAUAGGCAAUGUUACCCAGGAAUUAGAUGCAAAGGUGCAAGAUACCCAGGAUAGGGUUGAAGAAUUGGACAAUGCCUUUCAAUCAAUUAUUGAAGCAUCCAAGGUAGCAGAUCACAAAUUUGAGUCUAGAUUUGAAUGUUUGGAAGAUAAUUUACAGUACAGGGCUGACAGAUUACAUAGGUCCAUAUGGUUGAUUGCUGAGGACUCAAAAUCAGCAAAUCAUGACCUCGAAUCUAGACUCCAAUACCUAGAAGGCAGUUUCCAUGCCAUCCAGAUGCUGCCUAAGGAUGAUCAUAUUAAAGACCUAGAAAAACAUGUAAAUGAGCAGUUAGAGCAAUUUACAGAUUCACUAACAUGAUUGGAAUCUUUUAUGAUUAAGGAGAUUAAAACUUUUCAAAAGGAUAUCAUUACUAGGCUUAAAGAUCAUUGGGAACACUCCAAUCCCAGGCACCUACUCCACCCAGGUAUCAUGACUAUUCUUCUAAGGUUGCUACUCGUACACCAUUAGUGUACCCAGCUACCAUGGUAGAAAAGCCAGCUUCUAAGAAACACCCCCAUGGACGGAUGGCUUAUGAAUGGCAACCUAUACAGCUGAAGGAUCUUAAGAAUAUUAAAGAAUCAGUUGUCUCAUCUAGUCUCCAUAGCC
Molecule: long non-coding RNA, 1492 nt
Filed under: Cricetulus griseus (Chinese hamster)
Lineage: Eukaryota; Metazoa; Chordata; Mammalia; Rodentia; Cricetidae
Description: lncRNA (ENSCGRG00015033990.1)
Source: RNAcentral